Molecule: long non-coding RNA, 511 nt
Organism: Trifolium pratense (red clover)
Lineage: Eukaryota; Viridiplantae; Streptophyta; Magnoliopsida; Fabales; Fabaceae
Exons: 4
Source: RefSeq, a predicted model, not a curated record
UAAGACUCUUUACAUUUCAGUCUUUGUUUUGAUACUCAGCAUCUAUUUUGGUCAGUUCCUUUGAGUUUUCUGUGUGGAUGUUCCAGGGAAAAGUUAACCUGCAAAUGUGUGGUUUGCAAUGGAAUUUGUGGCAGGAAGAGGAUAGCGUUGGAGUUGUUGUCUAUCUGUCAGCUUGGUUUGGCACUCCCCAAGGACGAGGAGUUCUGGACAACAAUGGAACAACCGUAGAAUGCAUAUUGGCUGAAUGAAGUUAAACUCAGAAAUUCCCCCAAAACAGGGGUUUUGCCAUGCAGGAAAUUCCCCCAAAAUGCCACCGCACCGCAUCGCCGUUAUUAUGUGAACCGACUUCAUGAUUCCCUCUCAUAAGUAGUUCAUGGUGAACCCACAAGAUCGAGAUGUGCUCACAUGGCUGGCUAGGUCAAGUGUAAUUCUUCCUCACAAUUCCAUACGUAUUCUAUUUCCGUUAUUCAUUUUCAUUUUAUUUUCUAUAUGCGUAAAAGUUAGAUGUUCA